Molecule: ribosomal RNA, 253 nt
Filed under: uncultured bacterium
Lineage: Bacteria
Description: partial 16S ribosomal RNA
Rfam family: Bacterial small subunit ribosomal RNA
Source: RNAcentral
UACGUAGGUGGCAAGCGUUGUCCGGAUUUAUUGGGUUUAAAGGGUGCGUAGGCGGUCUUUUAAGUCAGUGGUGAAAUACUUCAGCUCAACUGGAGAGGUGCCAUUGAUACUGGGAGACUUGAGUACUGAUGAGGUAGGCGGAAUGGACGGUGUAGCGGUGAAAUGCUUAGAUAUCGUCCAGAACACCGAUAGCGAAGGCAGCUUACUAAGGAGUAACUGACGCUGAGGCACGAAAGUGUGGGGAUCAAACAGG